GACAGAGGAUGCAAGUGUUAUCCGGAAUCACUGGGCGUAAAGCGUCUGUAGGUGGUUUAUAAGUCAACUGUUAAAUCUUGAGGCUCAACCUCAAAAUCGCAGUCGAAACUAUUAGGCUAGAGUAUAGUAGGGGUAAAGGGAAUUUCCAGUGGAGCGGUGAAAUGCGUAGAGAUUGGAAAGAACACCGAUGGCGAAGGCACUUUACUGGGCUAUUACUAACACUCAGAGACGAAAGCUAGGGUAGCAAAUGGG
This 252-nucleotide ribosomal RNA is filed under the name uncultured bacterium. Its description in RNAcentral is "partial 16S ribosomal RNA". It matches the Rfam family "Bacterial small subunit ribosomal RNA", at positions 524 to 776 of the family's 1533-position model. The record is from RNAcentral.